RNAcentral lists this ribosomal RNA (202 nucleotides) under uncultured bacterium. RNAcentral describes it as "partial 16S ribosomal RNA". It matches the Rfam family "Bacterial small subunit ribosomal RNA", at positions 524 to 724 of the family's 1533-position model. The record is from RNAcentral.
GACGAACCGUGCGAACGUUAUUCGGAAUCACUGGGCUUAAAGGGCGCGUAGGCGGGCGGCCGAGUCCGGGGUGAAAGCCCCCAGCUCAACUGGGGAAGUGCCUCGGAGUACCGGCCGUCUCGAGGGGGAUAGGGGCGUGCGGAACUUCCGGUGGAGCGGUGAAAUGCGUAGAUAUCGGAAGGAACACCGGUGGCGAAAGCGG